UGGAGAGGUGUCCGAGUGGUUGAUGGUGACGCACUCGAAAUGCGUUUUGGCAGCAAUGUCAACGGGGGUUCAAAUCCCCCUCUCUCCGA
RNAcentral lists this transfer RNA (89 nucleotides) under Calothrix sp. NIES-4105. RNAcentral's name for it is "tRNA-Ser". It matches the Rfam family "tRNA". Rfam says of the family: Transfer RNA (tRNA) molecules are approximately 80 nucleotides in length. Their secondary structure includes four short double-helical elements and three loops (D, anti-codon, and T loops). Lineage: Bacteria; Bacillati; Cyanobacteriota; Cyanophyceae; Nostocales; Calotrichaceae. RNAcentral also lists the same sequence under 1 other name. The record is from RNAcentral.